Molecule: transfer RNA, 77 nt
Filed under: Escherichia coli
Lineage: Bacteria; Pseudomonadati; Pseudomonadota; Gammaproteobacteria; Enterobacterales; Enterobacteriaceae
Also listed under: 65 other names
Description: tRNA-Arg
Rfam family: tRNA
About the family: Transfer RNA (tRNA) molecules are approximately 80 nucleotides in length. Their secondary structure includes four short double-helical elements and three loops (D, anti-codon, and T loops).
Source: RNAcentral
CCGCCAUUAGCUCAUCAGGAAAGAGCGCCAGCCUUCGAAGCUGGUUGCGCGGAGUUCGGGUCCCCGAAGGCGGUCCA